AUUGAACGCUAGCGGCAUGCCUUACACAUGCAAGUCGAACGGCAGCACGGGAGCAAUCCUGGUGGCGAGUGGCGAACGGGUGAGUAAUAUAUCGGAACGUGCCCAGUCGUGGGGGAUAACGCAGCGAAAGCUGUGCUAAUACCGCAUACGAUCUACGGAUGAAAGCGGGGGAUCGCAAGACCUCGCGCGAUUGGAGCGGCCGAUAUCAGAUUAGCUAGUUGGUGGGGUAAAGGCCCACCAAGGCGACGAUCUGUAGCUGGUCUGAGAGGACGACCAGCCACACUGGAACUGAGACACGGUCCAGACUCCUACGGGAGGCAGCAGUGGGGAAUUUUGGACAAUGGGCGCAAGCCUGAUCCAGCAAUGCCGCGCGCAGGAUGAAGGCCUUCGGGUUGUAAACUGCUUUUGUACGGAACGAAACGGCCCUUUCUAAUACAGGGGGCUAAUGACGGUACCGUAAGAAUAAGCACCGGCUAACUACGUGCCAGCCGCCGCCGUAA
Molecule: ribosomal RNA, 500 nt
Filed under: uncultured bacterium
Lineage: Bacteria
Description: partial 16S ribosomal RNA
Rfam family: Bacterial small subunit ribosomal RNA
Source: RNAcentral